This 73-nucleotide transfer RNA is filed under the name Spirochaetota bacterium. RNAcentral's name for it is "Spirochaetes bacterium (activated sludge metagenome) tRNA-Ala". It matches the Rfam family "tRNA". Rfam says of the family: Transfer RNA (tRNA) molecules are approximately 80 nucleotides in length. Lineage: Bacteria; Pseudomonadati; Spirochaetota. The record is from RNAcentral.
GGGGAUGUAGCUCAGUUGGGAGAGCGCAGCAUUCGCAUUGCUGAGGUCGUGAGUUCGAUCCUCAUCAUCUCCA